This 494-nucleotide ribosomal RNA is filed under the name uncultured bacterium. RNAcentral describes it as "bacterial SSU rRNA". It matches the Rfam family "Bacterial small subunit ribosomal RNA", at positions 903 to 1397 of the family's 1533-position model. The record is from RNAcentral.
AAAUGAAUAGACGGGGACCCGCACAAGCAGUGGAGCAUGUGGUUUAAUUCGAUGCAACGCGAAGAACCUUACCCGGUCUUGACAUGCAGUAGACCGAUCCGGAAACGGAUCUUUCCUUCGGGACUGCUGCACAGGUGCUGCAUGGCUGUCGUCAGCUCGUGCCGUGAGGUGUUGGGUUAAGUCCCGCAACGAGCGCAACCCUUAUCAUUAGUUGCCAACAUUUAAGGUGGGAACUCUAAUGAGACUGCCCGGGUUAACCGGGAGGAAGGUGAGGAUGACGUCAAGUCCGCAUGGCCCUUAUGACCGGGGCUACACACGUGCUACAAUGGUCGGUACAGAGGGCAGCAAAACCGCGAGGCGAAGCAAAUCCCCAAAAGCCGAUCCCAGUUCAGAUUGUAGUCUGCAACUCGACUACAUGAAGAUGGAAUUGCUAGUAAUGGCGAGUCAGCAACAUCGCCGUGAAUACGUUCCCGGGUCUUGUACACACCGCCCGU